This 25-nucleotide non-coding RNA is filed under the name Mus musculus (house mouse). Lineage: Eukaryota; Metazoa; Chordata; Mammalia; Rodentia; Muridae. The record is from RNAcentral.
UGGGGUUCUCAGAGUCUGUUUCUGC